Molecule: ribosomal RNA, 1260 nt
Filed under: metagenome
Description: bacterial SSU rRNA
Rfam family: Bacterial small subunit ribosomal RNA (bases 326-1260)
Source: RNAcentral
AAACCGUCAUCCCUCACGCGGCGUUGCUGGGUCAGGGUUUCCCCCAUUGCCCAAUAUCCCUCACUGCUGCCUCCCGUAGGAGUCUGGGCCGUGUCUCAGUCCCAAUGUGGCCGAUCAACCUCUCAGUCCGGCUACCGAUCGUCAACUUGGUGGGCCGUUACCCCGCCAACUAUCUAAUCGGACGCGAGUCCAUCUUUCAGCGGAUUGCUCCUUUGAUUGCUGCUCCAUGCGAAGCUACAAUCUUAUGCGGUAUUAGCGUUCUUUUCAGAACGUUAUCCCCCUCUGAAAGGCAGGUUACUCACGCGUUACUCACCCGUCCGCCACUGAGUUGAAAAAAGCAAGCUCCUUUCAACUCCGUUCGACUUGCAUGUGUUAGGCACGCCGCCAGCGUUCGUCCUGAGCCAUGAUCAAACUCUGUAGAGGACCAACCGCUCACUAAAUGGAUGAGUCUGGGUGGAGAGAUCGGAAGGAACACCAGUGGCGAAGGCGGCCUACUGGGCUUUAACUGACGCUGAGGCACGAAAGUGUGGGUAGCAAACAGGAUUAGAUACCCUGGUAGUCCACACUGUAAACGAUGAUUACUAGGUGUGGGGGGUCUAACCCCCUCCGUGCCGGAGUUAACACAAUAAGUAAUCCACCUGGGGAGUACGACCGCAAGGUUGAAACUCAAAGGAAUUGACGGGGGCCCGCACAAGCAGUGGAGUAUGUGGUUUAAUUCGACGCAACGCGAAGAACCUUACCAGGUCUUGACAUCCAACUAACGAAGCAGAGAUGCAUUAGGUGCCCUUCGGGGAAAGUUGAGACAGGUGGUGCAUGGUUGUCGUCAGCUCGUGUCGUGAGAUGUUGGGUUAAGUCCCGCAACGAGCGCAACCCUUGUGAUUAGUUGCUACGCAAGAGCACUCUAAUCAGACUGCCGUUGACAAAACGGAGGAAGGUGGGGACGACGUCAAAUCAUCAUGCCCUUUAUGACCUGGGCUACACACGUACUACAAUGGUCGUUAACAGAGGGAGGCAAUACCGCGAGGUGGAGCAAAACCCUAAAAACGGUCUCAGUUCAGAUUGUAGGCUGCAACUCGCCUACAUGAAGUUGGAAUUGCUAGUAAUCGCGGAUCAGCAUGCCGCGGUGAAUACGUUCCCGGGCCUUGUACACACCGCCCGUCACACCAUGGGAGCCGGUAAUACCCGAAGUCAGUAGUUUAACCGUAAGGAGAACGCUGCCGAAGGUAGGAUUGGCGACUGGGGUGAAGUCGUAACAAGGUA